This is a long non-coding RNA of Perca fluviatilis (European perch), 278 nucleotides long. RefSeq lists it as uncharacterized. The record is from RefSeq and is a predicted model, not a curated record. The transcript has 2 exons. NCBI's taxonomy places the organism in Eukaryota, Metazoa, Chordata, Actinopteri, Perciformes, Percidae.
GUUGCUGUCGAUUCCACUAACCACUGCUGCAGUAUUUAUACCCGGUUGAAGCUCACCUUCGGCACCAGAUUGUUGCACCUACCAAUGUGACCUGCUGCCGUUUCCUGCUGUUCUGCCAGCUCUACAUAACUCAGACCUCGCAACCUCCAGAGAGAGAGUUUGGAUGCAUCUCUGCCUGCCGCCUCAGCUGCAAUCCAGUUCAGUGUCCUCCAGCCCUGUUUUCUCUAUCCUAGGCUGCUAUAAGUACUAGUCUCUCAUUAAAACGUUUGAAAUCGUUA